RNAcentral lists this ribosomal RNA (440 nucleotides) under uncultured bacterium. RNAcentral's name for it is "partial 16S ribosomal RNA". It matches the Rfam family "Bacterial small subunit ribosomal RNA", at positions 338 to 795 of the family's 1533-position model. The record is from RNAcentral.
CCUACGGGUGGCAGCAGUGGGGAAUAUUGCACAAUGGGGGAAACCCUGAUGCAGCGACGCCGCGUGAGUGAAGAAGUAAUUCGGGACGGAAAGCUCUAUCAGCAGGGAAGAAAAUGACGGUACCUGAGUAAGAAGCCCCGGCUAACGACGUGCCAGCAGCCGCGGUAAUACGUAGGGGGCAAGCGUUAUCCGGAUUUACUGGGUGUACAGGGAGCGUAGACGGGGCGCCAAGUCUGGAGUGAAAUGCCGCAGCUUAACUGCGGAACUGCUUUGGAAACUGGCGAACUAGAGUGCGGGAGGGGUAAGCGGCAUUCCUAGUGUAGCGGUGACAUGCGUCGAUAUUAGGAGGCACACCGGUCGCGAAGGCGGCUUACUGGACCGUACCUGACGUUGAGGCUCGACAGCGUGGGGAGCAAACAGGAUUAGAUACCCGAGUAGUC